Molecule: ribosomal RNA, 466 nt
Filed under: uncultured bacterium
Lineage: Bacteria
Description: partial 16S ribosomal RNA
Rfam family: Bacterial small subunit ribosomal RNA
Source: RNAcentral
GAUGAACGCUGGCGGCGUGCUUAACACAUGCAAGUCGAACGAUGAAGCCCAGCUUGCUGGGUGGAUUAGUGGCGAACGGGUGAGUAACACGUGAGUAACCUGCCCUUGACUCUGGGAUAAGCCUGGGAAACUGGGGCUAAUACUGGAUAUGACUUCUCAUCGCAUGGUGGGGGGUGGAGAGAUUUAUUGGUCUUGGAUGGACUCGCGGCCUAUCAGCUUGUUGGUGGGGUAAUGGCUCACCAAGGCGACGACGGGUAGCCGGCCUGAGAGGGUGACCGGCCACACUGGGACUGAGACACGGCCCAGACUCCUACGGGAGGCAGCAGUGGGGAAUAUUGCACAAUGGGCGCAAGCCUGAUGCAGCGACGCCGCGUGAGGGAUGACGGCCUUCGGGUUGUAAACCUCUUUCAGUAGGGAAGAAGCGAGAGUGACGGUACCUGCAGAAGAAGCGCCGGCUAACUACGUG